GGCUGGUCCCAAGGUAGUGAAUUAUCUCCGUUGAUUGUUCACAGUCAGGUACAGAUCAAACUCCUGUUCUACUCUUUUUCUCCUUCUCACUAUUGCCCUUGGCAAGACUUAA
Molecule: unclassified non-coding RNA, 112 nt
Organism: Piliocolobus tephrosceles (Ugandan red Colobus)
Lineage: Eukaryota; Metazoa; Chordata; Mammalia; Primates; Cercopithecidae
Rfam family: Y RNA
About the family: Y RNAs are components of the Ro ribonucleoprotein particle (Ro RNP), in association with Ro60 and La proteins. The Y RNAs and Ro60 and La proteins are well conserved, but the function of the Ro RNP is not known. In humans the RNA component can be one of four small RNAs -- hY1, hY3, hY4 and hY5.
Source: Ensembl